CUUUGUCUGAGUCACUCUCUUACAGACAUAGCAGUCUCCCAGGUUUCAUGUCUUACUGAGAUGAUCAUGACAGCCUCCUAGGCUCUAUGUCUACCUGUGAUGGCCAUGGUGAACUCUUAGUUUAGAGUUACCCUGCGAUGGGCAAGGGAGGCCUUAUGGCAGCAGGAGAUCCAUCUCCCAGAUAUGCUGUCACCUUGCAACAGGCAUAGCAGCC
This is a non-coding RNA of Pelobates cultripes (western spadefoot toad), 214 nucleotides long. Lineage: Eukaryota; Metazoa; Chordata; Amphibia; Anura; Pelobatidae. The record is from the annotation of a GenBank genome assembly.